Molecule: long non-coding RNA, 640 nt
Filed under: Rattus norvegicus (Norway rat)
Lineage: Eukaryota; Metazoa; Chordata; Mammalia; Rodentia; Muridae
Description: long non-coding RNA NONRATT016298
Source: RNAcentral
GAUGUGCCCAGUUAACUUACCAUCUUUCUAAAAUGUUUUUUCUUGGAUCUGAUAAAACAUUUCACCUAUCUUACCACUUCGUGAAUGAACUACAACAUCAUAAUUGUAUUUGCAAGAAAAAUUCUGUUGCUUUAUCAGUGGAAUUCACUUGUAAAUUAUUGCUUCAAACAUAUUUACGUUUUUUGUGGCACAAACAAUUCUUAUCUGUAGUAGCCUGUGGUAUAUUUUUUAUUCUCAUGAAAAUAAAGUACUACUUUAUAAGUAAGAUUUCUUAUAAAAAUUAUAAAUACUGCUUUAUAAAUGAAGACUUGUAUAAAAACGAUAUCCUUUGGUUUAUCCAAAGCACAAUCAUGAGAAGACCAUGGAUCCACUAUUUUGUAAGCUUUCUUUGAAAUAGUUAUACAUAAUUUUAAAGAAAACAGAACAAAACAAAAUUGGUUACCGUAGAAUAUUUGUAUAGUCAUUGUGAUCUUUUAAAAAAUGAAUAAAGCCAGGUGUUGGGGCACACGCCUUUAGUCCCAGCAUCAAGGGAGAGAGACAGUCAGAUCUGAGUUCUAGGCCAUUUUGGUCUACAGAGCAAGCUCCAAGACACCCAGGGCUAUACAGAGAAACCCUGUCUCCAAAAGGAAAAAAGAAAAAA